AAGUCGUCACCGAUUGCCCCAUGGGCUCUUGAGUUCGAUAAUUGGCUUAAAGAUGCUCUCCUUCAAGGAAGAUAUGACGAUGUGAACGAGUACGAAAAGAAGGCUCCACAUGCAAGAAUGGCACAUCCUAGUCCAGACCACUUUUUCCCGCUGCACGUUGCGAUCGGAGCAGCAGGAGGUGACCCGAAAGCCAAGCUUAUCCACCAUAG
This 209-nucleotide unclassified non-coding RNA is filed under the name Hevea brasiliensis (rubber tree). The record is from RNAcentral. Lineage: Eukaryota; Viridiplantae; Streptophyta; Magnoliopsida; Malpighiales; Euphorbiaceae.